GUUUCCCUUUCCUCCGCCUCCAGCUCCCAGGUUUGUUCCUCAAUCGGCAGCUUGUUUGCCGGCGUUUCUCUGUUCUUGAUACUUCCUCGCCUGUCUGGUUUUUGCUUGAUCUGUUCCUUGGCUGUGAUGAUCAAAAUACCUACCUAUUUUCUGAGGGAUUUCGACCCCCCUGCAGAGAAACCAGUUCAUUCUUCUGAGCCUUCCAAGAUCUGUGCAGUUUCUUGAUUUUUGCGCUCGAUCUUAUUUUGCAACCGAUUCUGAAAAACCAGAUUUGAGUUGAUGGGAAGAUAAUCUCUGGCAGAAAAUCGUUUUUAGUGUUGACCAAAAUUACAGACUACAAUUAUCUGAUCAACUCUCGAAUCUCGCUGAACCUCUCUGUUCUUUCGCCUCUCUGUAUCUUCACCUGAUUAUCUUGGUUUCUGCGUUUUAUCCUUUUUUUGACCGAUUGGGGAAAGUAGAUUUAAUUAAUGGUUGAUGUGAUGAUAAUCUUUCACAGAAAAUCAUAUUUAGUGUUGACCAAAUUACAGACUACAAUUAUCUGAUCAACUCUAGAAUCUCAACCAAUCUGUUAUUGCGUUUCUCGUGAGCUUCGCCUGAUAUCUUUUCUCCUUGCGCUGAAUUUCUUUGGUUACUUUCUUGUAUCCGUGCACAACAAGCCGAUGCUCUGGAUGAUUAGAGGAAGGAAGCAUGGUAAUGUGCACGGAGAUGGACUGAAUUGGUCUGCAUGUCUGCUCGCCCUGACGCCUUCGGGCUUUGAUCUCGCGGGCCUGGAUUUGACCCACACUACCACUUACCCCAAAAAUAUCGUUUAGUUUUCAGUAAUCACCUCGUUUAAUCUGUCGGUAGUCGAUUUCUCUGUGGCCUGUUGGAUUUGGUUAAUUACCUCUGUAUAUCUAUAGGCCUCGUCAAUGGCGCAAACUGUUUGAACAUUGAUCUCAGUACAUCUGGGCUUGGUGGCUAAUUAGCCAGUUACACACAGCAGCCACCACCAUGGCAGCAAUCUCUGUGUGAAUGGUCAGUAAGCCCACCUAUAUCGACUUGUUUUGUUGUGCCAAUUGAAGUAAUGACUCUUUCUUGUGCUCACUUCUUUGAUACAUCAACUCACAAUGCCAUAACUGAACAGUUAUUCUGCUUGAUAGUACAAAUGUAGUUACAGUAUGAUGAUUUCUUCAAUUUAGCAUCAAACUCAGAAUUAAUCAUAAUCUAGUUGUAGUAAUCUUGUUGUUUAUUCGAUUCAAUACUCAUUUUAGAACUUAGUAAGGCAAUAAAUUAGAGUCUCUGGUGCGCUUCUUAUUAGCGUAAUUCAGCGCUGUACGUUGCCAAGAGGAAACUUGGGCUAUGAUUCUGGCAGAAGCCAUUUUUUGAGAUGGCUUUUGCAUUCAACUUGUCCAUACAUAUCUUAGCAAUGAACUGAAUUUUGUUUGUAUAGGUGUUUUAGGGAUGCCAUGAGGUAUCUGAUGCUUGGUCUUUUUUCAUGGCCUUGUUUCUCGUUAGAUUGGCAGACAGCGAGAAGGAAACGGGUUUUUGCGACACUGGCUGCUCUAGUACCAGGAGCUUUCUGUUACUAUACCCCCGUUUACACCUAUCAAUGAAUUGUUCUUUCUGCGGCCGGCUUCAGUAUUUUGUCCAUCAGUGAUGGUCAACACUCGGUAGAUCCCUUGUAUGAUAUAUUAUUGAGCUGUGCUUAUUCUGCAUCUUUUUUAGUUCUUGGUUCUCUGUGAUGAUGAAAACAGAUGACGAGUCUGAUGUAAUCCAUUCUAUUAAACCAUGUGGACAAUCGAGGCAUUUGUCUGAGAGAGCUUAACAAUUUUUUUUAAAUGACUGUGUUGCAGACAUUAUCAGGAAGACAAUUGUUGUCUGAACUAUUUGAUAAUAAUUUCAUUGUGCAUUCUGGGUGUCUUCUUGUUUGCUAUAUUUGACUUAAUGGGUGAAGUGAUGAUAUCAUAACCAUACCACAUUUCUGCAUUCACUGUGAUGAUCAAUUUACAUCAUGCACUACCAUCUGAUCUCCCAUUGCUAUUUCCAUAGUUUAGAUAUUUUUAUAUGAUUAAACUUUCAGCUCUGGUAACAUUUACCCAGAAGUCCACAGUGCUUUUUUCCUUGUAUUUUAUCUCCCUGGUUCUAUUUGUUUCAUUUUUCACAACUUAAAUGGAUUAAAUGGAUGUGAUGAUCCUUUCCCCAAAUGAUCGACUAUGAUUAUACUGUGCGCAAAUGUAAUCCCAUCAGGAUUCCAAGCCAGAAAUCUGAUUCAUCUUUUUCCUUUUCAUAUUUAAUUGUUGUCUUCUGGUGAGUAUUUGAAUGCUAGGCAGGUUUCAUUUCUCCAAAUUAUCAUGCACUAUAGAGUGUUACUCCAAUCGUCACCACAAAUCCAGUUAAGAGUAUUAUUAUUUCGUCAACUUAGCAUCAAACUCUAAAAUCAUCCUCUGUAGUUUCUGUUACUUGUUAUUCAUUUGGGUCAAUCUGAAACUUCUGAAGGCAAUAAAUUAGAGUCUCUGGUGCACUUCUUAAUAGUGUAAUUCAGCGCUGUACGUUGCCAAGAUGUAUCUUUGGGCUAAGAUUCUGGCACAAGCCAUUCUUUGAGAUGGCUUUUGCAUUCAACUUGUCCAUACAUAUCUUAGCACUUAACUGAAUUUUGUUUGGAAAGGGGUAUUAGGGAUGCCAUGAGGUACUUCUUUCAUGGCCUUGUUUCUCGUUAGAUUGGCAGACAGUGAGAGGGAAACAGGUUUUUGCGACACUGGCUGCUCUCAUACCAGGAGCUUCCGGUUACUAUACCCCCGUUUACAUCAAUCAUUUGCUUCUUUUGUUCUCAGUGAUGACCAACACUGAUUAGAUGACCGAUUCAUUCCAUUCCAUUAAACCAUGGGGACAAAAUGAGGCAUUUGUCUGAGAGAACAUGUUAGGAGUUGAAAACACUUUUUUUUCACACCUGCCAUUCUGUAUGAUGAAAACAGGUGACGAGUCUGAUGUAAUACAUUCUAUUAAACCAUGUGGGCAAUAGAGGCAUUUGUCUGAGAGAACAUGUGCUUCUGUGCUAUUUUUUCCGAUUUAUUUAACUUUGUGAUUGUGAGGAGGACAAUUGUUUUCUGAUGAUAAAUUUCUCCUACUCUUUCUGAAAUUCAAAUUGGCACAAAUGGCACUCCCUACAGGGUUUGUGACGACUCACCUUGGAGAUAGCGUUGAGGCAAAUAUUUAGGGGUGAUGCUCAUGUUGUGUGAUGAUGCUCACAGGAGCCUCACAUGUCAUCUUUGUAUCUACUAGUAAGCGUGCAUGUGCAAUGCAUGUCUUGUUAGACUUCAAAUAUGAAUACUUUAAAGAUUAAAUUGUCAAAUCCACAUAUACAUGCAAUGAUUUGGAUGCAUUCCAUAAACUCUGCAAGUUUAAAUUUCGAUGAGGUCCCACAAUGUACUGAGAUUAAAUACAUCACCGACAUCUAUCCCUAUUGCCACUCGGAUAGAAUAGAAUCAACAUCAAAGGCAUCCGACCCUUCACAGUUUUCACCUAAAACAGUCUAAACCCCACUAUAUAAGUUUGAAGAGACACAUCAACUGAAUGUUCUUAUAGAUUUUUCAUUAUAAGAUGGCAAGGUCUCAAAUGAAAUCACAAUUUAAUAUUUGUUCUUCAGGAAAAGCUAGGAAGCAACCAAAAAAUAGUGAGAUAAAAUAAAAACACCAAAAAAUGUGCCAAUAAAUGUGAAGAUAAAAGAUCAUAGUUUUAGCUCAUGUUUUUCUUCAUUCUACAGUUACCACUAAGCUUAAAGAAUAGAUGAUUUCAAGUUCUGAGUACAUUAGUCAGCAGGUCAUCAGCAUUAGCUCAUGUUAUCAAUGGUAACAUGCUACUGUAGCUCAGGUCACAAACAUUCAGAUAAGCAACAUCUACAGUACAUUGAUUCAAAUAAUUUCAUGUAUAUCUUGUCCCAAAAACUUGCACUGUGAUCUUGUGCCUUCUUCAGUCAGAUUGUAUUUUAGACACAAUCUGAAUUUUGUUUGGUUUUCAGCACAGGAACCAAUCGCAGCACCCAAACCAAGACGACACGUGGUUGAUCUACCCGCCGGUUUUGUCUCGCCUCUACCCUUGCCUACUUCUUGGUCAUGUUGUUCUUCGCCCGCGCCUUCAUUUGAUCGGCAUACACCUGAAAUAAAAUUUGUACAAUUACAGACAGCUGGGAUUUGUUUCACAGUUUUGUUAAGAGUAUAAAACUUAGAGCAGAGCUGGCUGAGGGAUGGUGUGGCGGCACCGGCUAGUGCCGCUCCUUGAAUGCUCCAGGCUGUCAUUUGGCUUCAUCUCUGUGCCUACGCUUCUCGUCAACACCGAUGACGACGACUGCAGCGCUGUCGCCGGAGCAGCCGCUUGGGUGUGGAGCUUCAUGUCAAUUCAGCGGAAGUAUUUCCUCUGCCGGAGAUAGUCUACUUGGGAGGGGGUAAAUUGAUUGUAUUUGGACAUCUUCAGGAAAAGGCUUGCACUCCUCUGUAAAAAUCUGUGCAUGUUUCUUUGGAAUGGAACCUACAAGAUGUACAUCCUUUACUAACUGCUCAUCAACACUUCCAGGGAGCAAUUUGUCAGAUCCAGAGAAGCGGCAGAGAGUUCCCUCGGCAUACAACCGAUUCAUCAAAGACGAGAUUCAGCAUAUCAAGGCCAACAAUCCGGACAUCACCCACAGGGAGGCUUUCAGCGCAGCUGCCAAGAAUGUAAUUAACUUCAUCUUCUCUAUUUCUCAACACACAUUUUGAUCGGACCGGGUUUGAUCUUUGAUUUGUUCAAUACUUUGUGUAUUUAUCACCGAUCGUCUGCAUGCAUCAGUGUGCUCAUUUUUGACACAUCCAUUUCGGUAUUUACCACCUCCAUGCUCCCUCCCGAAAAGGUUGUACUGCAGGUUAAUUAGAGAAGACUGCAGGGUGUUAUUUGCAAAAGUGCGGGCGAUGACCGGUUCAACCACCUGGCUACCACUUGUCGAGCUAUGAUAGGCCGGGGACUAAAUCAUCACAUCCACUGCAAGUUGGGGUAUGAUGGAGUUGCACUUUGCAACUUUGGGACUAAAUCAUCACAUUAUGUGCAAGUUAGGGUACCUGAGGUGCUAUUACCUCCAGCAAAAACAUCUUGGAACAAUGUAAUGUGUCCGAAAAAGAGCGAAGCAGUUCACAUGGGCAACUCCCGGCCCUACAAUUAGUCAUGUUAGAUUCCAUUUGUUAUAAUAAAUCUGAGAUGCAUAAUUGAUCUAUCGAGGACCAAGC
Molecule: long non-coding RNA, 5228 nt
Organism: Triticum aestivum (bread wheat)
Lineage: Eukaryota; Viridiplantae; Streptophyta; Magnoliopsida; Poales; Poaceae
Exons: 4
Source: RefSeq, a predicted model, not a curated record